Molecule: ribosomal RNA, 751 nt
Filed under: uncultured Glomerales
Lineage: Eukaryota; Fungi; Glomeromycota; Glomeromycetes; Glomerales; Glomeraceae
Description: LSU rRNA
Rfam family: Eukaryotic large subunit ribosomal RNA
Source: RNAcentral
GCAUAUCAAUAAGCGGAGGAAAAGAAACUAACAAGGAUUCCCUUAGUAACUGCGAGUGAAGAGGGAAGAGCUCAAAUUUAAAAUCUGGCAGUCUCUGGCUGUCCGAGUUGUAAAUUAGAGAAGUGUUAUCCGCGUUGGCCUGUGCAAAAGUCUCUUGGAAAAGGGCAUCAUAGAGGGCGACAAUCCCGUCUUUGGCACAGACUACCAGUGCUGUUGUGAUACGCUCUCGAAGAGUCGAGUUGUUUGGGAAUGCAGCUCUAAAUGGGAGGUAAAUUUCUCCUAAGGCUAAAUAUUGGCGAGAGACCGAUAGCGAACAAGUACCGUGAGGGAAAGAUGAAAAGAACUUUGAAAAGAGAGUAAAAUAGUACGUGAAAUUGUUGAAAGGGAAACGAUUGAAGUCAGUCGUACCGACGGAAAAUCAGCUCUUUAGUGCGGACUUGUGGGCUUACGUGAGUUUUAACACCUCGCUGUUUGCAACGUUCGUGUUUUUUGGGUGUACUUUUUCGUAUGGUAGGCCAAUGUCAGUUUCGAUCGCUAUAAAAUGACCGGCGGAAUGUAGCUUCGAUCUCGUAUUGAAGUGUUAUAGCCUCUGGUAGAUGUGGUGAUCGGGACUGAGGAUUGCAACGAAUACCUUUUGGGCUAUCCGUCUGAUCUCUGAAGGUUGCUUAGGUGCCGAAAGCAUGCUUACGGUUAUUUAAGUUGACAGUCAAAAGGUUAGAACGUGAUUAUAUUCGUUAAGGAUGUUGACGUA